AACGAACGCUGGCGGCAGGCUUAACACAUGCAAGUCGAACGCAUCCUUCGGGGUGAGUGGCAGACGGGUGAGUAACGCGUGGGAACGUGCCCUUCAGUUCGGGAUAACCCAGGGAAACUUGGGCUAAUACCGGAUACGUGCGAGAGCAGAAAGAUUUAUCGCUGAAGGAUCGGCCCGCGUCUGAUUAGCUAGUUGGUGAGGUAAUGGCUCACCAAGGCGACGGUCAGUAGCUGGUCUGAGAGGAUGAUCAGCCACAUUGGGACUGAGACACGGCCCAAACUCCUCCGGGAGGCGGCAGUGGGGAAUAUUUGACAAUGGGCGCACGCUUGGUCCAGCCAUGCCGCGUGAGUGAUGAAGGCCUUAGGGUUGUAAAGCUCUUUCAGUGGGGAGGAUAAUGACGGUACCCGCAGAAGAAGCCCCGGCUAACUUCGUGCCAGCAGCCGCCGUAA
RNAcentral lists this ribosomal RNA (449 nucleotides) under uncultured bacterium. Its description in RNAcentral is "partial 16S ribosomal RNA". It matches the Rfam family "Bacterial small subunit ribosomal RNA", at positions 29 to 523 of the family's 1533-position model. The record is from RNAcentral.